This 367-nucleotide unclassified non-coding RNA is filed under the name fungal sp. Its description in RNAcentral is "partial internal transcribed spacer region". The stretch from base 1 to 46 matches the Rfam family "Eukaryotic small subunit ribosomal RNA", at positions 1786 to 1831 of the family's 1831-position model. Lineage: Eukaryota; Fungi. The record is from RNAcentral.
AAGUCGUAACAAGGUUUCCGUAGGUGAACCUGCGGAAGGAUCAUUACCACGUAUCCACGUAUCACCCCGCGCACUGUUUUUACCGCCCUGGACCACUACCCGAGUUAGGAAGGCGAUGAGAGUUUGAAUGGGGCCUCCGGGCCGCUCUCAUUCCAAUAUUAUACGACUUUAGUGGUGGCACAGGCAAACUCUAUUACCGAAGUCUCCAUUCAAGAUGGAGGUAAUAGAAACAAUUUAACAAUUUUCACCCCUUUUUUGCUAGUUGGUUUAUCUGUUGUAUGUCUCGUGAUUAAUUUCAUUGGCCAUACACACGUUUAUUUAUUUGAACGUAAAAUUACAACUCUUAGCAAUGGAUAUCUAGGUUCUC